AAUAUAGUGUAGCGGUUAUCACAUCUGCUUUACACGCAGAAGGUCCUGGGUUCAAGCCCCAGUGGAACCA
Molecule: transfer RNA, 70 nt
Filed under: Sorex araneus (European shrew)
Lineage: Eukaryota; Metazoa; Chordata; Mammalia; Eulipotyphla; Soricidae
Description: tRNA-Val (TAC) (tRNA-Val-TAC-4-1)
Rfam family: tRNA
About the family: Transfer RNA (tRNA) molecules are approximately 80 nucleotides in length.
Source: RNAcentral